GCACCCGCCGUCCCAGUCCCCCCGGGAGGGCGGAGCUGGCUGUCAGGCGGGUCGACCUGCCGGCACUUUUCUGCUCUGAGUUGUUGGCUUCUGGGGGUGGAGCCGCUCCCAGACCUUUGAAGGAAAUACCUCUUGUUAAAUACCUGAAUGCUCACACCACAUAGUUCUACUUAGGUGGAAGCUCAUCUGCAAUACUACCUCUUGAAGGAAAGCAGGUGGGAAUGAAUCCCCUGAAACCUUUGACUUGCUGAAAGCCUAAUCUGAGUUUCUAGACUAGACCACAAUCUCCAUCCAAACAGGUUUAUGAUAGAAUCCAUGUCAGAUCAGCAUACAACUCUGGAGAGUGACAAGCACAGUGUUUUCCCAAAGUGAUUGAGUCAAAUGCUGAUUAAAUGAAUCUACGUAUUUUUCUGUUUGAAACACUACCUGAUGAUUGUGUUAGAAAGUUGUUCGACCAGGAGUUUGACUGGGAGUCCGGGAGUUCAACCGCUUGCUGACCAUCAGGGGGUGGCACAGAACAUGGUGGGUGUCGGCGACACAGUGCUGGCAGCAGGUGGUGGCCCCAACGAGAGUGGGACCAAGGCAGGAUGGUAGAGCAGAAACUUAAUAUAUCAUUUUAAGAAAGGAAAGGAAGAAAUAAAGAAGGAAGGAUGAAAAGGCACCGUAUAUGGAGAAAUUAUUAUUGUCACACCCCAAGCCUGCAGUGAGGUCAACUGUGGGAUCAAUAACAACUCUGCUCCAUCAGAUAAUGAAUCUAAAUGAGAAUUGCCACUGUUAAUCAGGAAAUACUCAGUUGUACAGGAACCAUGUGCUUAGAAUUUAAUAGAGCCUGGAUACACCUGGAAAGAUUGUCAGGUUGUGCCUGGUGCUGAUUCAUCAUUUUGCUGCUGACACCCAUAACAUUGCAGAUGCUUCUGCUCAGGUGCUAAGUCAUCUGUACAUGCACAGUGAAGUAUUUUGGUACUGACAGAACAUAUAAUUAGUAUCUAUUCUUGGGAAAGGAUGUCAUCCGCAUGACUGACAUUUUAGGUAGAAGUUCCUUUAGAAUACAGGAAAGGGAAUGGAGGUGUUCUGAGGACAGCCCUCUCCCUGCUGCUGACAAAA
Long non-coding RNA from Eptesicus fuscus (big brown bat), 1104 nucleotides. RefSeq lists it as uncharacterized. The transcript has 9 exons. Lineage: Eukaryota; Metazoa; Chordata; Mammalia; Chiroptera; Vespertilionidae. The record is from RefSeq and is a predicted model, not a curated record.